ACGGAUAUUCACUGUCGGAGGCUUGGCAGAGUUCGAGGCUGGUUGGCUUGCCAUCCUAUUUUUGAUAGCACCAGUCAUAGCCAUGAAAGCCUGUUCGACAUUUGUAGCAUCUUUAGCACUGGUCUCCAAGAAUGGAAUACCAAUUUCAUCAGCAAAGGCCUUAGCUGUUUCAUACGACACAACUCUACUGGCAACAAGGUCAGACUUGUUCCCAACAAGAAUUUUGUUAACAUUUGGGGUAGCAUAACGGUCAAUUUCACUCAGCCAUUGUUUCACAUUAUUGAAGCUCUCCUGAUCCGUCACAUCAUAAACAACUAUUAUGCCAUGGGCUCCACGAUAGUAGCUGCUAGUGAUAGUCCUAAAACGCUCUUGUCCAGCAGUAUCCCAAAUCUGAAGCUUAAUGGUCUUUCCAUCUUGCUCCACUGUCCUGAUUUUAAAAUCAACUCCAAUUGUGCUUAUGUAGCUCUCCUGAUAUGUGUCAUCAGCAAACCUCAAAAGGAGACAUGACUUUCCAACACCAGAAUCACCAAUAAGCAGAAGUUUGAACAGGUAGUCAUAUUCUGUAUUCAUGGCGAUUACAAGCACACGAAAUUCGCCGGAAUAUGAGGAAUUUAGCGGCGGAUAUUGAUCCUUCGCGGCAGAAUUCAGAUGCA
This 653-nucleotide unclassified non-coding RNA is filed under the name Hevea brasiliensis (rubber tree). The record is from RNAcentral. Lineage: Eukaryota; Viridiplantae; Streptophyta; Magnoliopsida; Malpighiales; Euphorbiaceae.